RNAcentral lists this long non-coding RNA (2349 nucleotides) under Podarcis lilfordi (Lilford's wall lizard). The record is from RNAcentral. Lineage: Eukaryota; Metazoa; Chordata; Lepidosauria; Squamata; Lacertidae.
UAGAAAAAGGCGGACACAGAUGUCAUUCUUCUAAGGCUUCAUCGUUAGUAUACAGCCUCUCCUCAAAAUGCAUUACAAAACAUCAUGGCAAGCAUCUUUUCAUUUGAGCAGUUUCUGUAAUCGGUGGGAAAGGUUUCAGAGCAGGGGCGGGCGCCAGAUAAAGUUUUCAGAGGGAAGCUACUAUGAAAACAUAUUUUAUGUACGCCUGUUGCACAGACUUCACAUUUCUGCCACAUUUCUCCUCCUUCCCGGUUUCAUUCUUAGUGUCCCCUCUUACCCACUUCCCUCCUCCUCCUCCUCAAAUUGCCACUCCCUCAUGAUCCUAGUGCUUUACUGUUAUUGUCAAAGUAUAUGUAAUUUAAAUAACUGCAUAUUCUUCCCUUCCUCACCCAUCUCUUUCCUCGUUUCUUUCCCUGUAUCUACUGCAAGUCUCUUUGGUAAGGAUCUGUUAUACCACUUGUAUGUCAUGUAGUUGGAUAUUGCUAUAUAAAAUAGAAGGGGCAAAGGUACUACAUUAUAAUAGCUGAAUACUCAAAUGUGCCUCACUGCCCAAUGCUGUUUCUAGAUGUUCGGCCAUUUUACAACAGCUUCUGCUUGCAAGUUCAUUGGACAACCUUGAGCAAGACACUGUCAGGGACGAUGGAAGUUGUCGUCCAGCAACAUCUAGAAGGCCACAGGUUUUCCACCACUGAGCUACAGGCAAGGGAUCCAGUGUGUUAUCUGAGCUCUUUGGAAGAAGGGCUAGAUAAAAAUCAUAUGGGUUAAGCAGUAGAGUCAUGCACAGACAAGGAAGUGGAGCUGCAGACAUGUGGAGUGUUGGUACAUCUAUGUAUGUGAGGGGAUAUGUUGAGAUUUGCAUAUGGGCGACAAACCCACAUCAACAGUGGCUUCAUCCCACCAGGAACACACACAAAUCCAAACUACCAUGUGGCUCAUUCUCUAGCUGUUCACUGAAACAUAUUCUAAGCUGGGACAUUUUCCUAACUUGUUAUCGCACACUUGUGUCUGCCCCCGCCCCUUAAAAUGGUCCGUAGAUGUCUCACUGUGGAGUCAGACAAAUGUGUUAAGCGUCUAGAGGAGCUGGGAGCACUGUUAUACAGCGGCUCCGCUCCUUCCUCCGGGGCCGUGUCCAGAAAGUGGUGGGGGGAUGGGUGUUCAGACCCCUGGGCCCUCACUUGUGGGGUGCCUCGGGGUUCUGUCCUCUCCCCCAUGCUUUUUAACAUCUACAUGCAGCCACUGGGAGAGAUCAUCAGGGGGUUUGGGCUGGGUGUCCAUUAAUAUGCGGAUGAUACCCAGCUCUAUCUCUCUUUUAAAUUGGAACAAGUGAAGGCAGUGAAGGUCCUGUGUGAGUGCCUGGAGGCGGUUGGAGGAUGGAUCGCGGCUAAUGGAUUGAGGUUGAAUCCUGACAAGACACAAGUACUGUUCUUGGGGGACAGUGGGUGGGCUGAUGUGAGGACUCCCUGGUCCUGAAUAGGGUAACUGUGUCCCUGAAGGACCAGGUGCACAGCCUGGGAGUCAUUUUGGAUUCACAGCUGCCCAUGGAGGAGCAGGUCAAUUCUGUAUCCAGGGCAGCUGUCUACCAGCUCCAUCUCGUACACAGGCUGAGACCCUAUCUGCCCGCGGGCUGCCUCGCCAGAGUGGUGCAUGCUCUAGUUAACUCUCGCUUGGACUACUGCAACGCGUUCUAAGUGGGGCUACCUUUGAAGGUGACCCGGAAACUACAACUAAUCCAGAAUGCGGCAGCUACACUGGUGUCUGAGAGUGGCCGCCAGGACCAUAUAACACCGGUCCUGAAAGAUCUACGUUGGCUCCCAGUACGUUUCCGAGCACAAUUCAAAGUGUUGGUGCUGACCUUUAAAACCCUAAACGGCCGCGGCCCUGUAUACAUGAAGGAGCGUCUCCACCCCCAUCGUUCUGCCCGGGCACUGAGGUCCAGCGCAGAGGGCCUUCUGGUGGUUCCCUCACUGCGAGAAGCAAAGCUACAGGGAACCAGGCAGAGGGCUUUCUUGGUAGUGGCGCCCGCCCUGGGGAACGCCCUCCCAUCAGAUGUCAAAGAUAAACAUUUAGAAGACAUCUGAAGGCAGCCCUGUUCAGGGAAGUUUUUAAUGUGUGACAUUUUAAUGUAUUUUUAACCUUUGUUGGAAGCCACCCAGGGUGGCUGGGGAACAAAUUAUUAUUAUUAUUAUUAUUAUUAUUAUUAUUAUUAUUAUUUACUAGAGUUGUCAGCAUUUCUGACUUCAAGAGAUGGAGCACCCAACCCAGCAAGCUCUUUAAAAAACAACAACCAGGCAGUGACAGGAGAUGCCUGCUCCAAUUUAGAAGCAGAGGACAAAAUUACUGCAAGCAAAC